RNAcentral lists this small RNA (108 nucleotides) under Marmota monax (woodchuck). The record is from RNAcentral. Lineage: Eukaryota; Metazoa; Chordata; Mammalia; Rodentia; Sciuridae.
GCUGGGUGUUGGGGAUGCACACCUGUAAUCUCAACUCUUUGGGAGGCUGAGGCAGAAGGAUGGAAAGUUUAAGGCCAGCCUCAACAACUUUACAAGACUCUGUCUUAA